AAAGUCGUAACAAGGUUUCCGUAGGUGAACCUGCGGAAGGAUCAUUAUUGAAACUUGAAUCGUAGCAUUGAGAACUGUUGCUGACCUGUUAAAGGGUAUGUGCACGUUCGACGUGUUGCGUUCUAUUCAUCCACCUGUGCACCUUUGUAGACUUGAUUAACUUUCGCUCUCGAGCGGUUAGAAGGGUUGCUUUGAGUUCCCUUUGUCAUCAAGUCUAUGUCUUUAUAAUCUCUUAUAUGUCUAGAAUGUCUUGUUUAUGGGGACGCAAGGUCCCUUUUAAAACUCUUAUUAACAA
RNAcentral lists this unclassified non-coding RNA (295 nucleotides) under plant metagenome. RNAcentral describes it as "partial contains small subunit ribosomal RNA and internal transcribed spacer 1". The stretch from base 1 to 47 matches the Rfam family "Eukaryotic small subunit ribosomal RNA", at positions 1785 to 1831 of the family's 1831-position model. The record is from RNAcentral.